Molecule: ribosomal RNA, 486 nt
Filed under: uncultured bacterium
Lineage: Bacteria
Description: partial 16S ribosomal RNA
Rfam family: Bacterial small subunit ribosomal RNA
Source: RNAcentral
AUUGAACGCUGGCGGCAUGCCUUACACAUGCAAGUCGAACGGCAGCACGGGUGCUUGCACCUGGUGGCGAGUGGCGCACGGGUGAGUAAUACAUCGGAACAUGUCCUGUAGUGGGGGAUAGCCCGGCGAAAGCCGGAUUGAUACCGCAUACGAUCUACGGAUGACAGCGGGGGACCUUCGGGCCUCGCGCUUUAGGGUUAGCCGAUAGCUGAUUAGCUAGUUGGUGGGGUAAAGGCCUACCAAGGCGACGAUCAGUAGCUGGUCUGAGAGGACGACCAGCCACACUGGGACUGAGACACGGCCCAGACUCCUACGGGAGGCAGCAGUGGGGAAUUUUGGACAAUGGGCGAAAGCCUGAUCCAGCAAUGCCGCGUGUGUGAAGAAGGCCUUCGGGUUGUAAAGCACUUUUGUCCGGAAAGAAAUCCUUGGCUCUAAUACAGUCGGGGGAUGACGGUACCGGAAGAAUAAGCACCGGCUAACUACGUG